AACGCACAUUGCGCCCCUUGGUAUUCCGAGGGGCAUGCCUGUUCGAGCGUCAUUACAAACCUCAAGCUUCUGCUUGGUAUUGAGCGGCCCGCCUUCGGAAACGGAGGCGCCCUCGAAACUCGUGGGCGGUGAUGUCCAGCGUCGUAGCGUAGUCAUAAACCAUUCCGCUUCCGACCGCUCCUGGACGGCUCACCCGCCGGGCGAACCGACGCCUCCUGGCGCCAUUCUUUCUAAGGUUUGACCUCGGAUCAGGUAGGAAUACCCGCUGAACUUAA
RNAcentral lists this unclassified non-coding RNA (275 nucleotides) under uncultured Dothideomycetes. RNAcentral describes it as "sequence contains 5.8S rRNA gene, ITS2, 28S rRNA gene". The stretch from base 1 to 52 matches the Rfam family "5.8S ribosomal RNA", at positions 103 to 154 of the family's 154-position model. Lineage: Eukaryota; Fungi; Ascomycota; Dothideomycetes. The record is from RNAcentral.